GACGAACGCUGGCGGCGUGCUUAACACAUGCAAGUCGAACGGAAAGGCCCUGCUUUUGUGGGGUGCUCGAGUGGCGAAAAGGUGAGUAAAACGUGAGUAUCCUGCCCUUGACUUUGGGAUAACUUCAGGAAACAGGGGCUCAUACCGGACAGAAGCUCCUGCUGCAUGGUGGGGUUUGGAAAGAUUCGGAGGUUGGGGAUGGACGCGGGGCUUAUCAGCUUGUUGGUGGGGUAGUGGCUUACCAAGGCUUUGACGGGUAGCCGGCCUGGGAGGGUGACCGGCCACAGUGGGACUGAGGUACGACCCGGACUGCUACGGGAGGCAUCAGUGGGGAAUAGUGCACAAUGGGCGGAAGCCUGAUGCAGCAACGCCGCGUGCGAGAUGACUGCCUUCGGGUUGUAAACCGCGUGCGCCUGUGACGAAGCGUGAGUGACGGUAAUGGAUAAAGAAGCACCGGCUAACUACGUG
RNAcentral lists this ribosomal RNA (468 nucleotides) under uncultured bacterium. RNAcentral describes it as "partial 16S ribosomal RNA". It matches the Rfam family "Bacterial small subunit ribosomal RNA", at positions 28 to 507 of the family's 1533-position model. The record is from RNAcentral.